RNAcentral lists this ribosomal RNA (241 nucleotides) under Weissella paramesenteroides. RNAcentral describes it as "partial 16S ribosomal RNA". It matches the Rfam family "Bacterial small subunit ribosomal RNA", at positions 214 to 454 of the family's 1533-position model. The record is from RNAcentral. Lineage: Bacteria; Bacillati; Bacillota; Bacilli; Lactobacillales; Lactobacillaceae.
AUCACUAAGAGAUGGAACCGCGGUGCAUUAGCUAGUUGGUAAGGUAACGGCUUACCAAGGCAAUGAUGCAUANNCGAGUUGAGAGACUGAUCGGCCACAAUGGGACUGAGACACGGCCCAUACUCCUACGGGAGGCAGCAGUAGGGAAUCUUCCACAAUGGGCGCAAGCCUGAUGGAGCAACGCCGCGUGUGUGAUGAAGGNNNNCGGCUCGUAAAACACUGUUAUAAGAGAAGAACGGCA